Molecule: long non-coding RNA, 208 nt
Filed under: Trifolium pratense (red clover)
Lineage: Eukaryota; Viridiplantae; Streptophyta; Magnoliopsida; Fabales; Fabaceae
Description: long non-coding RNA (TPRA_LNC011570)
Source: RNAcentral
CACUACAAGAAUUGAUAGUUUUUGCUGCGACUUUUUUGCAACAAUUUAAGUGUUGUUGGGAAGUAUAAUACAUUAGCAGCAAUAUUGUAACGAGAUCAUUGCUAAAAACAACAAUCACAUCCUUAAUUUUAGGUAGUGGGUAGUAAUUUUAUUUAAAUUUAAAAUAAUUAAAUACUUAAAGAAACAACUUCCUAAUAAUUCAAUAAUU